GGCAGGGCCUGGAAUUGCCAGGCAGUAAAGACCUACAGGCACCCCUCCCCUUCUUCCCCAUCCCCAGUUCCAAAAGAAUAGCUGUGUCCCCUCCCUGUGGACGGGGGAGGCCUCCUAGGAGACAUGCCAUAGCAGCCCUGUUCCCUGUCACCCUGCACAGAUCUGAGCAUCAUUACGAGCUGCCAUGGAGGCCCUUCACUACCUUAAACUUCACAACAAGCCUAUGAGGUGUGUAUUAGAAUGAUCCCUAACUGCCAGAUGAGGAAACUAAGGCUCAGUGAGGUAGAGUGAUUUGCCCAAGAACACCCAGUUACAAAGUGAUAAUUUUGAAAUGUGAAGCCCAGCUAACCACAGAAUGAGAGUUCUAACCACUGUAGCACAGGGCUUCUCUGGAAUUUCAGACUUAAGAAUGAAUGAUGAGGCCAGGUGCAGUGGCUCAUAUCUGUAAUCCCAGCACUUUGGGAGGCCGAGGUGGGCGGAUCACUUGAGGUCAGGAGUUCAAAACCGGUCAGGAGUUGAAACACCAUCUCUAGGAAAAUACAAAAAUUAGCAAGUCAUGGUGGUACGCGCCUGCAUUCCAAGCUAUUCACGAGGCUGAGGCAAGGGGAUCGCUUGAGCCCAGGAUGCGGAGGUUGUAGUGAGAUGAGACCGUGCCACUGCACUCUAGCCUGGGUGACAGGGUGAGACUCCGUCUCAAAAAAAAAAAAAAAAAAUGAAUGAAUGAUAUAUAGUUUUCCUUCUCCUGCCAUCUCCUGUUUGAGUCUUUUAGAAACAGAGGAGGCUAAGGAAAGUGAAAAUGAUUCCAAAGGAAACCAAUCCCUGCCCCCAUUUCCUGAUUUGUCCACUGCCAUGCCUCUGACCUCCUGCCUCCUCAGUCUCUGGUGUCCAGCAGGAAAGAAUCCAGGGCUCCAAAUCUCUCCAGGGCCAUGUGAUACCCUGGCCUGCGGGAAGAUGCCCUGGUCACUUUUCCUAGGCUCCUCCAGGUAGCCAAGCCUCAGCCACCAGGGCCACAGACUUCCCUGCUGCCUUGAGGGACCUACGGGACUAGCAGGAGCUGCUCUUCCUCGUACGACUCCUACCCACCCAGGUAACCAAAAACCUACGUGUCCUUCUCAGUGACUCCCUUCCCCCACCCCACCGUGUCCAGUCUAUCCCCAAACACUGAUGCUUCUACCUCUUAAGAGCAUCUCCCCAGUUCCACCUCCUGACCCAGCCCAGGCCUUAUCACCUUUUGCCUGGGGGUUUUGGCAUUACUCAGCUCAUCAACUGCUCAGCCUCCAGUCUCUCCUUCUCCAGUCCACACCGCACCUGAAAGAGCCUUCUAGGAUGACCAUGCCACUCUCCUGUGUGAAACCCUUAUCAAGGGCUCCUGCCUCCAUGCUAUAGGAUGGAGGUGUCAUGACUUAGUCUGGCCGACAAAGACCCUUUACACAUCACCUCUGCUCACUUCUCUGCCUCAUCCCCCUACAACCCCUGCAUCCUGCCAUCCAGGAUGAAUGGUCCCCCCAAACCCAAGCUUCUUUGACACCUCCCUGUUUUGGCUCAGUUAGGACCUCCUGCCUGAUACCUGAACUUUGUGGGAUCAACUUCACAUCCCCCAAAACAGACCUGCUGGGGACAAAGAGCAUGACACACAGAGCAUCAAAGUAGCAGUCCAGAAGCCCUGUGCAGGAGGCAGGGUCCAGGACCAUGCCCUCCAGGACAGGCUGGGGGCCGCAGUGCCCCUCAGUGGUCAAGACUUGGACCUGGGCCCAAAUCCUAGCUCCAAUAUUGGGGCUCAUCAUUGAACCCCUCUGUGUCUCAGUUUCCUCACCUGUAAAAUGGGGUAAUAAUAGUAUCUACCUCCUAAAUUGGUUGUGAAGAUUAAAAUAGUUAAUUAUGUAAAGGGCCUGGAACAGGCUUGUCAUACAGCGUUACAUAAAUGCUAGCUGCUUCUAUUAUUAUCACAGUCCAUCCAAGCCCUGCCUCCUUUGACCUUGACCCUUUGAUCGCCAGUGACCUAACAAUUCUCUUUCUCUUGCACACACAUCCUCACAUACAUAUGUGCUGAUGUAUACACACACACCCACGCAUACAAGCAUGUGCCUUGCCAGCCUCCCCACCCUCAGAACUCUUCUCGCACUUCAUGGUCCUUCUGAGUCAGUUUCAGAGCCCACGUUUCUAACUCUCUACCCAUUUGCCACAUCAGAGUUCAAAGUCAAAAGCUUCCCAAGAACCCCACCCAGGUUCCUCCUGCCACCCAGAGGAUUAGACACAUGGAUCCCCAGCCAUUCCUGGCCCCUGCUACACUGCUCAGCAGGUAGGGUGCUGGUGUCUGGUGCGGGGGACUGAGGCUGGUGCAGUGUAACCAGCAGGCAUGUGGACAAAUGGAGAUGGUCCCUGGGAAGAUGGGGAGUUCCUUCCAAAAUGAUUCCAACUCAGGAAUGAUGCCUCCUUUUUUGGCUCCUGCUCCAGCAGAUCCCAGACUCACCCCACUCUAUAGCAGACCCCAAAGCAGGAGCUCCCACCCGAAUUAGACAUUUUUGUUUCCUGGGGAGUUUGCUGUAGUCUGGUCUGCAAAGUGCCAAGGGCUUGCUGACGUGCCAUGGGCAGGAAACAGGACUUCCCUCAUGGUCUCACAGAAGCUUCUAGACAGGGCCCUUGCACACCAGGAAACUUUGUAACACCCAGCUCAGACUAGCACUUUCAUACACCCAAGCGUCUAAUUGGGGGGAAAGGGGGAGGGAGGUGGAGUAAAGCAGAAUGGAAUUUGACUCCAUUACCUCCCCACUGUGUGAUUUCAGGGAUAUCACUUGACCUCUCUGAGCCUGCUUCCUCCUGGAGACAACAGUGUAUACUUAGGGCUAUUGCGGGGAAUGACAAGGAAAAUGGAUGAAAAUGUGCUGGAGAAAUUCUGAGCCCUACCUCUCCCUCUCAAAUCAGAGCCUGUUUGGUGAAGACUUUUCAGGUGUGCCGACUGCCCCAAGCUGACCCAGUGUGGAUCCUAACUGGCCCCACCAGCAUCUUCCAUGCUCACCCAGCUGGCCCAUGUCUUGAAGAUGCCCUGGGCUCCCAGCUCUGCCACCCCAGCUUUCUGAGUCUCCGUGGAUUGGGAUCACUGGGGACCCAGCAGGAAGAAGUUGGAGAAGAUAGGAAGGCAGGACGGGACUAGAAUGAUUCUAGGAUGACCACCCCACUGGCCCCUGCAGCAGAAGGAGCCUCAGCCUGGGCCCUGUCUCUGCCAACGCCCCCUCCCAGCAAAAUGGGCAGCCUAUCUGGGUAAAGACCUGCCCAGACCCCACAGCCAAGGGCAGCCCCUCAGAGAUUCAGGCCAGGAGUGGCCUUUGUUCCCCACACCUGGAGCUCAGAGCUUGCUUAGCCUACAGUGGAAGCUCUGGUUUAAUUAAGGAUCUUAGGAGAGAAUUCUCUCUUGUUAUUUUCUGAAUAAAUUAAGGAAGUAACUUUGA
Molecule: long non-coding RNA, 3446 nt
Organism: Pan troglodytes (chimpanzee)
Lineage: Eukaryota; Metazoa; Chordata; Mammalia; Primates; Hominidae
Exons: 2
Source: RefSeq, a predicted model, not a curated record